Rhizophagus clarus is the source of this 74-nucleotide non-coding RNA. The record is from the annotation of a GenBank genome assembly. NCBI's taxonomy places the organism in Eukaryota, Fungi, Glomeromycota, Glomeromycetes, Glomerales, Glomeraceae.
CCCGGUUAGUUCAGUUGGUAGAACGCCACAUUGAUUGAAACGUGGAGACGCGGGUUCAAUUCCUGCACUGGGCU